UAGAUACGGGACCUUUUCCUGAGCCCCCUUCGAGUUCAGCAGAUCACAUCGAAUCGCACCACAGCUAAUUAAGGAGCGCAGAAGUACGGAUACCACGUUCCCGAGGCGCGGCACGUGCAAACAAGUUGGCGUCCCCCACCUCGUAUGCCGCAGGUGGAGCUAUUCACUGCUUGACUCUUCCCGAAAGGGAAGCGAGAGCCUGGCACUGUUGCAGGUAAAGUGGGUCCCGAAGCAAGACGGCUGUAAUGCACCGUGAAAACCUGGCAGCAUCGCCCCCAUCCGCCUAUUGUGACGGCGCAUUGCAAGUCAGCAAGGCAAGACCGCAGGGAGAAGUAAGCCCUCGGACAAUUGGGGACCAAGCAGUGACCCUCUCCGCCGGGUGUGACACCAUCGCACGGGCGCCUACCAUUGGCCGAAAAUGACGACACCCGAGCGGGCUC
Molecule: long non-coding RNA, 440 nt
Filed under: Dermacentor andersoni
Lineage: Eukaryota; Metazoa; Arthropoda; Arachnida; Ixodida; Ixodidae
Description: uncharacterized LOC126548227
Source: RNAcentral